GUAUGGGCAUGUUGGAUCCCUGCUCGGGCAGCGACGACAUCUCAUCCACGUCUCUUCAGUUUGUUGGCUCGAGCACGUGCUCGGCYGAUGUUGGUUUUCWUGUGCUGAAUACCUAUUGCGAAGGCAUUCCGUCGGCUAUGAUUGUCCAUUUCCCACCUUGUACUGCUGCUCCUUGUGGGCAAGCGGUGUGGGGUGGGCCAAAUAGCGCAUGUCGUGUAUCGCACUGUGUUCACUUCUAUUGGUGUUCGGGUUGACGAUCCAUGAUGUGAUGCUCGCUCUCUCGGGUACGGAACAUUAUGUGGGUACGAGGCCAUCGGCCUCCGAGCACCACAAACAAGCGUUCUACGCUUCGUGCAAACGACGGUUGGUUCGGUCUUUGGCUGUGCUCUCGUGGCUCGGUUGAAGUUGGGCCGACCGUUCGA
Molecule: unclassified non-coding RNA, 422 nt
Filed under: Lepechinia radula
Lineage: Eukaryota; Viridiplantae; Streptophyta; Magnoliopsida; Lamiales; Lamiaceae
Description: partial external transcribed spacer
Source: RNAcentral